Molecule: small nucleolar RNA, 79 nt
Organism: Cynoglossus semilaevis (tongue sole)
Lineage: Eukaryota; Metazoa; Chordata; Actinopteri; Pleuronectiformes; Cynoglossidae
Product: small nucleolar RNA SNORD50
Source: Ensembl
CAACAGUGAUGAGCACUUUAUCCCGAAGCUGAUCCUGUUUUGAUGAACCUAUUUAUUUUACGGAUCUGAUUGCUGAGUU